UCGGAUGUUCUACUAUUUUCGUCACGUUUGGAAGGGAAAAAAGAAAAAUCGUCAGCACAUUCUGGUCAUCAUAUUAUGGAAAUAUUUGUGACUGAAUCCCAUCUGAAUGUUGGAUGACAUAUAUCAAGAUGACACUGAACAGGACAUAACUGAGGAAAAUGGAUGUGAGAUAAUCCAAUCUAACAGUUGGAAAUAAAUAUAUAUAGUAUUUA
Long non-coding RNA from Gigantopelta aegis, 212 nucleotides. RefSeq lists it as uncharacterized. NCBI's taxonomy places the organism in Eukaryota, Metazoa, Mollusca, Gastropoda, Neomphalida, Peltospiridae. The record is from RefSeq and is a predicted model, not a curated record. The transcript is spliced from 3 exons.